Mirounga angustirostris (Northern elephant seal) is the source of this 1049-nucleotide long non-coding RNA. RefSeq lists it as uncharacterized. The record is from RefSeq and is a predicted model, not a curated record. The transcript is spliced from 3 exons. Lineage: Eukaryota; Metazoa; Chordata; Mammalia; Carnivora; Phocidae.
UGCACUGCAGGGAUGGAGAAUGGCCAGAGAGAUUCUGGGCCUCACGGGCAAACGUGGGCCCCCAGCCAUGAUUCUGUUUUUUCUUAAAUGCUUAUUCUCUCAACUCUACCAGCCACACCUCAGCACCUAAACCAGUCCUUGACAAGAGAAAGGACUGGCUCAGACCAACCACAUUUCAAUUCUAGGGGAGAGAAAGCCUCCCUACCCUCUGAGCAAGUGGCUGUGGAGAGCUUUGCCGCAGGAAGAAGUGGAAGUGACCAUUGGGAAGGAAACCACCAGUGAAGCCCAAGGAGAAACCCGGUGUCGUGCUCUGGCCUCAGAAACAACAUAGAAACAGGAGGAGGUGAUGAAGAAACAAAGUCUCACUGCGGACACAUGACCUGCCCAAGGUGUCCAGGCAGGACUGAAGGCCAGAGCUGCCCCCUCGUGUCGGUGGGCUCCUGAUUCGUGUGUAUUGUGGUGUGGCCUGGAAACCUGCUUACACCUGCUCUCCAGACUCUGGCCUCCUUGUGGAUGGUCUAACUCAAGGACAAGACUCUACACACACCACCUCUCCCAUGACGAUAGCCUGUGUUGACCAGAUGUCUCUGCUCCACCCUCUCUGUGUUCUUGACAUCCCCAUGGGCUCGGCAUGAGCAGGGCUGCUGUCUGGCCAGUUUCACAGACACUCAGUGUCCUGAGGUGCAUCCAGUGGGGGCUCUGGAGCCUCCCUUUGAACACAGUCUGGGAGGACUGAUCGGGGAGGCCUUUGUGAACAUCUAAGAUUCCUCCAUGAGUGCUUGUUAACUGGAGGGACGUGUGAUGGUUGAUUAGUCCCGUGUGCUAGGCUUUACCACCCUGGAUGGGAGAACUCCCAGAUGCCCUCACAUCCUUGCCCUUCCCCGCUUUCUCCCGGUGACUUACUUUCAUCCGUUAGUGUCCCCCUGCUGCCUUUCCCUCCGGGUGACAGUUAUCCACUCUGCUCUGGCAGAUUGCCCCUGUGCAUGAUAAAUAGUCGUCAUUUUCUUUUCAAGAGUCCCACAGCCAAUAAAAAGCAAUAAAAAGCGAAA